AACAUAUUUCUGGCGAACGAAAACUCUGGCGCAGAUUCCGCUGGCAGCUCCCUAAUUUUUGGGCCCCGAUACUUCUUUCUCUCCCGAUAUCGAGAAAAACAGCACCGCCGCUCCUCCCUUCUCCUCCUCCUGUGCACUUCCCCCAGAUCCACCCCGCCUCCGGUCGUCGCCCGCGCUCCUGCAAGCCGCCACCGACCUCCUCAGCCGGACGCCAUGGCCACCGGAGGCAGGGGAUGCGGCCGCGAUGGCCCUGAGCUCGGCGGCGUGGAAGCCAUUGGAGGCGCUGGCGAGGCCGAGGUCGGUGAGCAUGGCAGCGGCGGUCGGGUGCAUUGAGCGCAGGUAGGACUUCCUCAUGAGUUGUUUUCCUCCAACGCCGGGGUGUGGAUCUACGUGCGGGGGGCUGCAGCUGCCGCCACCGCCUCGAUCCCGACCCCCUUCCCCCCGCUUCCCGGGGACAGACCCCGUCGCCUUCUCCCUUCUUCCUCGGACCCCAGGACGUCCUGCUGUCAUCUGCACCCCGUCCCAGUCUUCAUCCGGCCAUCAGGUUUCCUUCCCCUCAAAGAAGGUAUGCAUGAGCAGCUAGCCAUCAGGUUUUGGUAGGUGGCUGGAUGACAAAAGACUUGGUUACACACUAAUGUAUUUCCGUUUAUUGCAAAAUUCAUGGAAGGGGUGAGAGCCCGGUUGGAAAAAAGCUAGGUUGUUUCUUCUCAUCCACCGCAGCAUCAGUUCUCUUUCUUAUUGAAUAUAAUCAAUCAAUACCACCAGGCCAUAGAGAUGGGAUCUUCACAAUUUCUGGGUCAGAUCCGCCCCUGGUGUCCAUAGCAGGAUCAUGCAUGUUGUUGUGUUCAUGGAUUCCAUCUUGUGGAUGAUGAUUUGUGUAUGAUUGGUGUGCUAUCUUUAUCUUGCGUGGUUACAAAUUUUAUUUGUUUUUACAAGGAAUGAUGUGCGAUAGCUUAGUAAAAUAAUUAGAACUACUCUGCACAUGGAUACCCAUGCGUGUACAAUUGCUGUAUUUUUUAGAAGAUACUAACUAACUAAAUAUUCUAACUGCCACUCUUUGUAGAUUUUGAAGGAAGGAGAGAAAUCCGCUAAGCCACCCCCUUAGGAAGCGGAUGGACUAGCUCGACGCGGUCUUUUCCUGCCCAUUCUGCAAUCAUGGGAGUAGCAUUGAAUGUCGGAUGAAAGCUUCAACACCACUGCAAAUGGUACAUAGAACUGCAGAUUGUACCUCCGUCAUCCCGCCGUCCUCACCCCAUCAUUGUGCGCCCCCGCCUGUCCGCUCACGCAUUCACAUUGAGGAAGAUGAUGAGUACCUCGGCCACGCCGCCGUCCUCUCCCCGUCGUCGCGCGUCCCCGCUCGUCAUCCAUCCGCAGCUUUUCCAGUCCCGACCGCCGGAGAGUCGCGCCGCUGGGAACAAGCACCUUGCAAUCGUGGUGUGCUUCUCCGUUGGUGCUGUCGUAUAGACAUCUUGCAAGUAAGUGACCUUCAAUCCAAAUGUUAUCUUUCUCUGCACUUGAUUUCAGUUGCUUUCUUAUGGUCUCCUGAAUUACUUGGCAUGUGUCAGCCAUUCUGGAUAGGGAACGUUCUUACGGGACAUCAUGUUCACUUGGGAUACUUACUGGAUUAAGGAAGAAAUUUUGAAAUGCUUCUGAAACAAUAUCGUUUCAUUAGUUGAGGACUUUGGGUAGUUCAGCAUGUUCGAUUGAGCAUAAUUAAGAAGCUUGAUUUGUAAUUAUAUAAAAAAAAUUGUAAAAUGAUAUGUAAAAGUUGAACUUCUCACCAAAAUUAUAGCACUGAAGUUAAAUCAAGUGAAAAAAAUAGUGUGCUGCGGUGCAGUUACUUGCAGCUGGGACUGAUCUGAUGAAGAAAUUAUUCUGUUAAAGACCUGGCAGAUAGUUUUUCUGCUGGCAAUGUAAUUACACUUGUUUGGAUGUGCUUGUUUUGGAUUAAAUGAUAGAAUGGGUGUUGUACUGUUGUUCUUGAUUUUCUCACUUAUUUAGUAGUGUUUGACGGGCAUUCUAAUCAUUUUUUAGACCACUUUGGAGAGGGUACGUGAUUGAAAAGCUCAGACUUUCCUGUUAGCAAGAGUAUUUUAUAUCUUACCAUGAAAAGCUGUAAUGCUAUUGUUCCUACAGAUUCAAGAACUCGGAUUUAGUAACAAGAUAGAUUUUUAUCAUGCCUCGCUAUGAAAUCAUGUUUGGUUGCAGUGCAAAGGUCAAUUGAGAAUUUGAGAUCCGUUGUGAAGAACUGUAGAUGCUUGCUUGUCGACUGCCUAGAGAUUUUGUUUCUGAAUUUUUUUCUGUUGGAUCGCAGGAUGUUGCUGAUAUAUGGUCGUGUUUGUUCAAAAAAAGUCGUGAUGUGUUAUUGAUCAGGAUAUUAGUAUAUCCCAAUCUCAUCACAGGAUCUGUUCACUGGGUUUCUGAAACUAUAUAGCAUUUUAUUAGUUAUGGGUUGGAGCAGUCUUUCUUUUUUCCUCUCGAGAAAACAUUGAAGCUUAAUGUCUUGAUGCAUUUGGAAAAGAGAAUGGCAAAACAAAAUAGUUUACUUAAGGGUUACAUGAGUGCCUCUGAAUUUUAAAAAAAUGUCAGCAAUAGUUUCCUGUUUUGACUAAGAUUCUUUAUUUUCUUGGGAGCAAGCAUUUUCUGUAAUUCACACCACAACAUGACGGCAUGUGCAUAGCAUAAACCAUCAUUUGGGUAAUCUAAAUAUUAGCUUUGGUAGCCUCAUUUGCAAUUGUGUAUGUCUGUCAGGUUGAUGCCGAGGUAGCUAGCAAAGAUGCAUGAUGCAUAUAUUAUUCAGUAUUGUUCUUACUGACGUUUUUCUUUCUGAUGAUAAACCACGGGGAUAAAUUGGCAAUGUAUCUCUUCACCUUCCAGAAUGAGAGCUUCACAGAGGUCCUCCUGGUGUGGGAGAUCAUGAGAGCCUAGAAAUGCAAAUGAGGCUGGAAGGAUUAUUUUGUUGGUGUCCGAGAGCGAAAUAUUUUGUGUUGCAAAGUUAGCCGUGGACCUUCUGUGGGAGCUUUGGGAGGAUGAUCUUGCCGCUACGCUGGUCAUGUGUCAACCGUACGCCUUUUACUUUUAAUACUGGCAUUUUUGAGGUGCAGGAUUUCUCAAACAGCACUAUACAUAGGGCCUUCCAGACUAUCUCAUAGAUUUUAUCCUGUAAAGUCGUGUGAGUUGUUUCACAUGCUCGAGUGUGAAUGAAUUGCAGGGGAUGCCACUUCUGCUGGUUGGGAUGUUGAUGGUGUGUGUGCUUUUUGCCGCUGCUAGCAUCUACUCCCUCCGUUCGGAAUUACUUGUCACAAAAAUGGAUAGAAAUGGAUGUAUCUAUAACUAAAAUACAUCUAGAUACAUUCAUUUCUUGGACGAGUAAUUCCGAACGGAGGGAGUAGAUGAGUAGUAUAGUGCACAACUGCAUUAGCUUUGGACGUAUGUGCUUCAAUACUUUUUUUCUGUUGGGCUUUAAUAUUCUACUAAAUUUCUG
This is a long non-coding RNA of Triticum aestivum (bread wheat), 3484 nucleotides long. RefSeq lists it as uncharacterized. NCBI's taxonomy places the organism in Eukaryota, Viridiplantae, Streptophyta, Magnoliopsida, Poales, Poaceae. The transcript has 3 exons. The record is from RefSeq and is a predicted model, not a curated record.